Molecule: long non-coding RNA, 524 nt
Organism: Neopelma chrysocephalum (saffron-crested tyrant-manakin)
Lineage: Eukaryota; Metazoa; Chordata; Aves; Passeriformes; Pipridae
Exons: 3
Source: RefSeq, a predicted model, not a curated record
GCUUAACUAUUAGGAAAAUAGCUAGUGUGAUGCAUAUUUGAUCAGUUGUGAUGAUGGCACUAUUGAUCAUGCACAAGGUGUCUAGUGAAAGUAAAGGCUUAUUCUGUCUCUUAUGUGUCUUUUUCUUUACCCUAACAUUGUCAGUGUCUUCCUUCAUGCUCUUUCCUUGUUGCUUAGUAGUCUUCCCUUUGGGCUAUUAGAGAUGAUUUUUUGCAUUGGCAAACUUCUCAAUAUCUUCAACCACCAACCUGCGAUCUUCUGGAUGGAGAGUGCACAGCCUGGAUCGUCACAAACACCCUUACUGGGAUACUUAAAAGAAUCCAUAAUUCAUAUUCCCCCCUAUAAAACAGAAGGACAAAGAGAGACAAACCCAUGUUCCAUAAAAGCUCUUAGAAAUCCUGCUGGAGACAAAUCCUGGGCUCAGUGGACAUUUGGUGUGAUCAGCUGUGGCUCUCAAUAUUCUAACAACACUCAUCAUGUGCCUCAGUGGUGUCAGGAGAGAUUUGGGCUGUGUACUAAUGGCU